This 81-nucleotide small RNA is filed under the name Flavobacterium sinopsychrotolerans. RNAcentral's name for it is "Flavo-1 RNA". It matches the Rfam family "Flavo-1 RNA". The record is from RNAcentral. Lineage: Bacteria; Pseudomonadati; Bacteroidota; Flavobacteriia; Flavobacteriales; Flavobacteriaceae.
UUUUUGCGUGAGGGAUAACAGUGGAAAUCCUUUUAUGAAGCGCAGCGGAGUAAAAGAUUAUAACGAAUAGCCCGACCUUUU